AAGCAUUUAGAGCAAAUCUGACGGUGGCAAAAAUGUUCAUCAGAUUUAGAUAUAUCUGCCCUGAAAUUUUCAGACAACCAGUUGUUGGGUUGCUGUCCCUGAGUUCUUUGCUAUUAUCUUAGAUAUUAUUAUAGUAUCUAAUGAUAUCUUAUACUAUAAAUUAUGAUUUUAACCUUAUUUUACAUGAUUUCCAAAGGAUCAGUAAAUACAGGUGAGCGACACAGGCUCUUUAGAGACUCUAGUUUAUUUGGUUAAAGUUUUUAUUUCAUUUUCUGACUCUUGAUAAAUUUGACAAAUGCACAUGUAUGGUCGACCUCAUACUAAACCAUACGAGUAUACUCAUACGGUACGAGUAUACGUUCAGGUAUACUUAUAUGGUCCACAUUGUACGCGUAAGGGUUCAAAUCAGAUAUACUCAUAUUGUCUGGAACAUAUAUAUACAUGUAGCAUUGUUGAAAAAAAAACUUAUACUUGUACUCAUCAUGGAUAAUACACAAUACAGAACCACAUCCGCGUAUAAUUUAUUCAAUUCAUCUUUCAUUCUGAAACAAAUUCAUUUUCCUUUUUGAAAACAAAACAAACAGUUGUGUUUAUAAUGUCUGUGUCAUUUUGGUCUCUUGUGGACAGUUGUCUCAUUGGCAAUCAUACCAUAUCUUCUUUUUUAUAUGCAAACCAAAGAGUGAUGGAAAUCUGCUGAGCACCACAAAAUGCAUGAAUGUGUGGUAUUCUUUAUCAUUAUUUUGAUUUCAAAAAAGAACAUGAUGGAUCCAAGUCUAUUUUUGAGAUUUACGGACCGUUUUGGCUGCUGUGGAACCUAACAGACACUGAAUGGAAAUCUUACUUAUGUUUUAUAGAUAUUGCAAAGGAAAUUUAAAUAUCAAAUAUAGGCUCCAAAUUAUGUCUCCAGCAUAUACAUAAAGAGAACGCUAUGUUGGAGUUUCUUGUGGAUGAACAAAUAU
This 959-nucleotide long non-coding RNA is filed under the name Mytilus galloprovincialis (Mediterranean mussel). Lineage: Eukaryota; Metazoa; Mollusca; Bivalvia; Mytilida; Mytilidae. The record is from RNAcentral.